GUCCACGCCGUAAACGAUGGACGCUAGGUGUGGGCGGUGUCGACUCCGUCCGUGCCGAAGCUAACGCAUUAAGCGUCCCGCCUGGGGAGUACGGCCGCAAGGCUAAAACUCAAAGGAAUUGACGGGGGCCCGCACAAGCAGCGGAGCAUGCUGUUUAAUUCGAAGCAACGCGAAGAACCUUACCUGGGCUUUACAUGCAUUCGUAACCUUGGGAAACCAAGGCCCCAGCAAUGGCGGAUGUACAGGUGGUGCAUGGCUGUCGU
Molecule: ribosomal RNA, 263 nt
Filed under: uncultured bacterium
Lineage: Bacteria
Description: partial 16S ribosomal RNA
Rfam family: Bacterial small subunit ribosomal RNA
Source: RNAcentral